Molecule: non-coding RNA, 1159 nt
Organism: Ceratotherium simum simum (southern white rhinoceros)
Lineage: Eukaryota; Metazoa; Chordata; Mammalia; Perissodactyla; Rhinocerotidae
Source: RefSeq, a predicted model, not a curated record
AUGUCAAAACAUGGAGAAGAUACUAAACUCUUAAUGAAAAUGCAGCCAAGACUCAACAAAGCAUUGACCACCAAGCACUUUGGUUUAGUAUUUUCAUCAUUGCAAAUCAUGGGGGAAGAAUUCACAAGUGAGAUGGUUGGAAACCACACCAGCGUGACAGAGUUCCUCGUUUUGGGCUUAACAAAGGACCCUACACUUUGUGUCAUCUUCUUUGUGACAUUUCUAGAAAUAUAUGUUGUCACCUUAGUUGCCAUUAUCAGCAUAAUCACUCUAAUAAGAAGCUGUUCCCACCUUCAUACUCCCAUGUAUCUCUUCCUCAGCCAUUUGGCUUUGGUGGACAUCGGGUGUUCCACAUCAGUCACACCUGUAAUGCUUGUAGGAUUCCUUGGACAUGAAAUCACCCUCCCUGUUGCUGGCUGUGAAGCCCAGCUCUGUUUUGUGGUCACAUUUGGGACAGCCGAGUGCUUCCUGCUGGCUGCCAUGGCCUAUGAUCGCUAUGUGGCCAUCUGCUCUCCCCUGCUCUACUCUACCCACAUGUCCCCCAGAAUCUGUGUUCUCUUGGUGGGGGCUUCCUAUCUGGGUGGAUGUGUGAACGCUUGGACAUUUUCUAGUUGUUUAUGGAGUCUGUCUUUCUGUGGACCAAAUGAAAUAGAUCACUUUUUCUGUGAUUUCUCCCCUUUGUUGAAACUUUCCUGCUCAGAUAUCUCCACUAUUAAGAUUAUCCCUUCCAUCUCUUCUGGAUCCAUCAUCGUGGUUACAGUGUUUGUCAUAGCUCUCUCUUACAUCUACAUCCUCACCACCAUCCUGAAGAUGCGCUCCACUGAAGGGCGACACAAGACCUUCUCCACCUGCACAUCCCACCUCACUGCAGUUACUCUCUACUAUGGAACUAUUACCUUCAUUUAUGUCAUGCCCAAGUCCAGCUACUCAACUGACCAGAACAGGGUGGUGUCUGUGUUCUACACAGUGGUGAUCCCCAUGUUGAACCCUCUCAUAUACAGUCUGAGGAAUAGAGAUGUAAAGGAGGCCCUGAGAAAGGCAACUGUCAGAAUAUAAUCUUAGGAUCCAUUCAGAGCAUUUCAGGCGACCCAUAAAGUUUUUGUUUUCCAAUGUCACACUUAAGACAUAUCAAAUGCUGCUAAUUGAUUGCUUAAAUUAA